Alexandromys fortis (reed vole) is the source of this 1606-nucleotide long non-coding RNA. RefSeq lists it as uncharacterized. The transcript has 3 exons. The record is from RefSeq and is a predicted model, not a curated record. Lineage: Eukaryota; Metazoa; Chordata; Mammalia; Rodentia; Cricetidae.
CUCCGCUUGAAGAAAACAUCACACAUAAAUAUCCCCAGACUCCAGCUCACAAUAAGAAGUGUCCAUACCGCGCCAAGAUGCUGAGCUGCGCUGGGCUCCCUGGGAAGCUGGAAAGUGAAAGCUUGCUGUGAUCGGCUCUCCCGAACUGCACACACCACCAGAGAGGAGCAGUGAGGAAGGGACACCAGCCUCCUACCUGGAAGCCUCAUUCCACUAGGGCAGCAAGAUUUUCCUGACCUUUGGCAUCAAUCGUCUCCUGUGGGAACACUAGCAGCAGCCUCUGUCUUGAAGCCCAGCAUGCCUGUGCUGGACAGGAGAAUCUCAGUCUUGCCUGUUAGAAGUCAGAGACCAAGCAUGGUGGAGAAGGAGGAGAACGUGAUUUAAACACACACACACACACACACACACACACACACACACACACACCUGGUCACACACCCAAGGAAGCAGCCUGUAGUUCACAGAUUCGAUCAACAAACCUAUCAAAGCACUUAAGUAGAUAAAGCACAAGCUUAGAUACUAAAAUUUUAAUGUGAGAAGGGACUUAGAACCCAUCUGCCCAUUCUUAUUUAAAACAGGAGUAAUCUUUGCUACGCUCCUGGCAGGCUUUGGGAUAGAGGUGGAUAGUCCCUCUUUGGACAGUUCCAGUUCUUAGGGGUGAUUUUGCUAUCACGGACUGACCUGCACAUAGAUCAGCCUAUUCCUAUCAUCUGCAGAUGAACUUUUGUUCCCCACAAAAAAAUAUAUAUUUUUUUUUAAAUAUUUACACGGCUCCUUCUAGCCUCUUCCCACAGGCAGCAUGGGUGUCUCAUGAGUCAACAUUCCCUCACUCCUUACAAAGAACAAUUUCUGGGCUCUUUGCCAUUCCAGUUGCAACGCUGGAGACGUGAGCUAUCUAGGACCCUAAAGAAGCAGGGUGACUGGGUCUGGAGGGAAUGCCUCAAAGGUGGCUCAUAAGAUUGCUCCAGUGCACGAAGAGGCCUUUGCUGUCUCUGAGCUGCUUCUUCCUGUAUUCCAGAAGACCCGGGCUGGGCCAGCUGAGGACUGUGACGUCAGCCAAUUUGGCAGGUGUGACCUUUGUGACUUUGAGUAGCCCACUCCCUAACUGGUCUUGCUUUACUUGUGAAUUGUCACACUUUCGUUAUCAGGUUUUCAUGGAAAGCAUUAGCUUUCCAGCCUCAUGGCAGAUAGAUAGGCUGUAGCCAUAUUUACUGCCACAACUCUAUGGCAUUUCAAGGUCCCUGCCAGCAAGUAAGUUGCAGCAUUAUGUCCACAGACAACACACAAGUCCUCUCUCUGUAGUCAGCCCUCCUGCUUCUGCCUCUGCCUCUGCCUCUGCCUCUGCCUCUGCCUCUGCCUCUGCCUCUGCCUCUGCCUCUGCCUCUGCCUCUGCCUCUGCCUCUGCCUCUGCCUCUGCCUCUGCCUCUGCCUCUGCCUCUGCCUCUGCCUCUGCCUCUGCCUCUGCCUCUGCCUAAACCCAGUUCAAGUGUUUUCUAAAGACACACAAAGCCCUUUGUGGAAGCACCAAGCGUUUCCCAUCCUCUGAAAGCACAUGGUUUCUCUCUCCAGUUACCAAACUCAGUUCCCACAGACUUCCACUCCAUGC